This is an RNA transcript of Populus trichocarpa (black cottonwood), 2016 nucleotides long. RefSeq lists it as uncharacterized. Lineage: Eukaryota; Viridiplantae; Streptophyta; Magnoliopsida; Malpighiales; Salicaceae. The record is from RefSeq and is a predicted model, not a curated record. The transcript has 17 exons.
UCGACAAGAGUCGCCGUCUCUUCUUCAAUUUGGCCUUGUAGUGGUAGACUUGAGCGAAAACAGAGUAAAAAAAGCUGAACCAUGUCCGAAGAAGCAGAAGAAAUCAUCAAUUUAAGAUCUCAAAUAACUUUUCUUCAGAACAGAGUCCAAGAAUUGGAGGAAGAGAAUGCAAAGUUUUCCUCUCGACUCUCAAGCUGUCGCUGUGACGAGUUACAAGAGAAAAAGCCUAAAGAAAAAUGUGAAAAUCUGGGAGAGGAGAGAGGAGAAAUGAAUUCUGGGUGCAAGAAGAGUGGAAGAAAGAAAGCCACGCCUAAAACGCCAGGUUAUGAUACAAGGAUCAUGAAUCACCAUCCGAGGAGAUAUGUUGCUCUUAAAGUCAUGUAUUUUGGUCAAAGGUUUUAUGGUUUUUCUUUGGAGGCACAAAUGGAUCCGACAGUUGAGUCUGAGAUUUUCAAGGCUCUUGAAACGACAAGACUUUUAAUUGGUGAUAGGAAGGAAAUACAGUACUCGAGAUGUGGUAGAACAGACAAGGGAGUUUCUGCUGUUGGGCAAGUGAUUGCACUGUAUUUACGAUCCAAACUCAAGGACAUUGAUGCACACAACAAACAUUCAGGGGAGACUGUUCCAGAAGAACAGGAUGGUCAGCCAGAAGGGGAAAUUGAUUAUGUGAGAGUGUUGAAUGGAGUCCUUCCAAAAGACAUUCGGAUUGUGGGCUGGUGUCCUGUUCCAAGUGACUUCAGUGCAAGGUUCAGCUGUUUGAGCAGGGAAUAUAAAUAUUUCUUUUGGAAUGACAAUUUGAACCUCUUGGUUAUGGAGACUGCAGGUAAGAAACUUAUUGGGGAACAUGACUUCAGAAACUUCUGCAAGAUGGAUGCAGUGAAGGUGCACAAUUAUAGGCGAAAUGUGAUGUCAUUUGAGAUCUCUCCUUGUGAUAUGAGAUUUGAAGGGCAUCAACUUUAUGCUAUAAAAAUUAAAGGUAGUGCUUUCCUGUGGCACCAAGUCCGGUGCAUGGUUGCUGUGCUAUUUAUGAUUGGCCAAGGUCUUGAAUCCCCUGAAGUAAUAGAUGCAUUACUGGACACCAGGACACUGAGGAAACCCCAGUAUCUCAUGGCUCCUGAAAUUCCGUUGGUUCUUCUAUCCUGUGAGUUUGAAGGUCUCAAGUUUUCAUGUUCUUCAGAUGCUGGGCAAGCGCUGCAUGUUCACUUGGAGAAUGAAUGCCGACUUUACCAUCUCCAGGCUGCUAUCUUUCAAGAGGCUCUGUUGAGUCAUUUGCCUUUGUCAAUUGGUGCAGAAAAUAAAGACUCAUCUAGCAAUGGAGUGACAAGAAAAAAAGCUUCCCAUGUUCCCCUCAUGUCAAGGGAAACUGAGCCGUCAUAUGAAGAGCGGCGUGCUAAGCUGGAAACGGUGAAGUUAAGAGCUUGAUAACCAGUCAGCCAGAGCUGGGAGAGUUUACUGCAACCCAAUCCUGCAGUGUAUUCAAACAUAAGUUUUAUGGGAGACCACAUCUUGCUGGAAAACAAUUGUUUCUUUUCUCAUAGACAGCCAUGGAGCAGUCCUACGAAUCCAACCAAUACUUGGUGGUGUGCACUUCAUUUUAGGAAGAGACAUUUUUUUAGCUGAAAAAGUCGUUUUCACAACCUUCAGAAAUGGAGCUCGUAAAUCUUAGAUGGUGAUAUGGCUUGCUCGGCAAAAUUAUUGUAUGAAUCAAGACCCAGAAACUUCGGCUGAUGGUCCCCAGGAUGGGAAAGACAGGCAAGAGAUUGGGUGCUCCCACUCACUUUUAAUUGUUCGCGCCAUGGUUGAUUGUCAGUUUUUCCUUUUUAGAUUCUUCAAAUUUUUUCUUAUUUACAUUUUUGUCGCUAGACUUUUUUUUUUUUUAAUUUCAUCAUUGUAUUAACAUGGUUUUGUUUCUUGAAAUCUGUUUUGAUUUGUAUGCUUUUGCAUACUCGAUGUGGAGUUAUAACCAGGUGUUAUUGUGUUCUCAAUGUGAAAUUGAAUAUUAGGUGUUAAAUUAAA